UACGGGUGGGGCAAGCGUUGUUCGGAAUUACUGGGCGUAAAGGGUUUGUAGGUGGCUUGCUAAGUCAGACGUGAAAUCCCUCAGCUUAACUGGGGAACUGCGUCUGAGACUGGCAAGCUCGAGUGCAGGAGAGGAACGCGGAAUUCCAGGUGUAGCGGUGAAAUGCGUAGAUAUCUGGAGGAACACCGGUGGCGAAGGCGGCGUUCUGGACUGCAACUGACACUGAAAAACGAAAGCCAGGGGAGCAAACGGG
This 253-nucleotide ribosomal RNA is filed under the name uncultured bacterium. Its description in RNAcentral is "partial 16S ribosomal RNA". It matches the Rfam family "Bacterial small subunit ribosomal RNA", at positions 524 to 776 of the family's 1533-position model. The record is from RNAcentral.